GAUGAACGCUGGCGGCGUGCCUAAUACAUGCAAGUCGAGCGAACAGACGAGGAGCUUGCUCCUCUGACGUUAGCGGCGGACGGGUGAGUAACACGUGGAUAACCUACCUAUAAGACUGGGAUAACUUCGGGAAACCGGAGCUAAUACCGGAUAACAUGUUGAACCGCAUGGUUCAACAGUGAAAGACGGUCUUGCUGUCACUUAUAGAUGGAUCCGCGCCGCAUUAGCUAGUUGGUAAGGUAACGGCUUACCAAGGCAACGAUGCGUAGCCGACCUGAGAGGGUGAUCUGCCACACUGGAACUGAGACACGGUCCAGACUCCUACGGGAGGCAGCAGUAGGGAAUCUUCCGCCCUGGGCGAAAGCCUCACGGAGCAACGCCGCGUGAGUGAAGAAGGUCUUCGGAUCUUAAAACUCUGUUAUUAGGGAAGAACAAAUGUGUAAGUAACUAUGCACGUCUUGACGGUACCUAAUCAGAAAGCCACGGCUAACUACGUG
This 497-nucleotide ribosomal RNA is filed under the name uncultured bacterium. RNAcentral describes it as "partial 16S ribosomal RNA". It matches the Rfam family "Bacterial small subunit ribosomal RNA", at positions 28 to 507 of the family's 1533-position model. The record is from RNAcentral.